Molecule: ribosomal RNA, 434 nt
Filed under: uncultured bacterium
Lineage: Bacteria
Description: partial 16S ribosomal RNA
Rfam family: Bacterial small subunit ribosomal RNA
Source: RNAcentral
AGCGAACGCUGGCGGCAUGCCUAACACAUGCAAGUCGAACGAACCUUUCUGGUUUAUUUGCGGACGGGUGAGUAACACGUGGGAACGUUCCUUUAUGUUCGGAAUAACUCAGGGCAACUUGUGCUAUUACCGAAUGUGCGCUUCUGGGGAAUGAUUUCUCGCCUUUCGAGCGUCCCGCUUCGGAUUUGCUAUUUCGUUGAGGUAAUGGAUCACCAAGGCGACGAACAUUAGCUGGGCUGAGAGGAUGCUCAGCAACAUUGGGACUGAGACCCGGACGAAACUCCUAGGGGAGGAAGAAAUGGGGAACCUUGAGCAAUGGGCGAAAGAAUGAGGCAGCCGGGCCGCGUGAAUGAGGAAGUUGUUAGGAUUGUAAAAUUGUUUCAAAGGCGCAGAUAGUGACGGUACCCGGAGAAGAAGCCACGGCUAACUACGUG